This 253-nucleotide ribosomal RNA is filed under the name uncultured bacterium. Its description in RNAcentral is "partial 16S ribosomal RNA". It matches the Rfam family "Bacterial small subunit ribosomal RNA", at positions 524 to 776 of the family's 1533-position model. The record is from RNAcentral.
UACGGAGGGUGCAAACGUUGCUCGGAAUCAUUGGGCGUAAAGCGCACGUAGGCGGCCUGUUAAGUCGGAUGUGAAAGCCCCGGGCUCAACCCGGGAAGUGCAUACGAAACUGGCAUGCUUGAAUAUGGAAGAGGGUCGCGGAAUUCCCGGUGUAGAGGUGAAAUUCGUAGAUAUCGGGAGGAACACCAGUGGCGAAGGCGGCGACCUGGGCCAAUAUUGACGCUGAGGUGCGAAAGCGUGGGGAGCAAACAGG